Hemibagrus wyckioides is the source of this 6721-nucleotide long non-coding RNA. RefSeq lists it as uncharacterized. NCBI's taxonomy places the organism in Eukaryota, Metazoa, Chordata, Actinopteri, Siluriformes, Bagridae. The transcript has 3 exons. The record is from RefSeq and is a predicted model, not a curated record.
UAUUCCUUAUAUUUAUCCCUAAUGAUCAAGCCUGAAGUGGCGUUUAAAUGUUGACCUGUUUAAAUGUUGAUGUAUAAGAAUUAAAAUAAUUUUAUUUCUUAUUUUCUUUACAGAUGUGGCAGAUGAAACAGCUGUAAAUCACGAGGUUGAGAACAGACAGUACGUCUAUUACUGAUGGAUCAGUGCUGUGCUGAAAAUAGAGCUGCUUAAUAGACAUCAGGUCCUUACCUGCAGGUACUCUGUGAAGAAGGAUCCCAGCUCAGUUUUCAGCAGCUGUCUAUAGCACAGAGGUACAGGACAUAACAGAGUGAGGACAAGAGAGCUUGAAGUGAGAUACUGAGAGUGAAUUAGAAGAGAGAGAGUGAGUUACUGAUGGAGAGUGAAUUAGAAGAGAGAGAGUGAAUUAAGAGAGAGAGAGAGAGUUACUGAAGGAGAGUGAAUUAAGAGAGAGAGAGUGAAUUAAGAGUGAGAGUGAGUUACUGAAGGAGAGUGAAUUAAGAGUGAGAGAGAGUGGGUUACUGAAGGAGAGUGAAUUAGAAGAGAGAGUGAGUUACUGAAGGAGAGUGAAUUAAGAGAGAGAGUGAGUUACUGAAGGAGAGUGAAUUAAGAGUGAGAGUGAGUUACUGAAGGAGAGUGAAUUAAGAGAGAGAGUGAGUUACUGAAGGAGAGUGAAUUAGAAGAGAGAGUGAGUUACUGAAGGUAACUUUAAGGUGAUUUUAAAAUUUUGUUUUGUUCAGUAUUUCUAACUAAAUGUUUUAUUCCUCAUUGCCAUGUUACAGCUUUUUAUAGCCUGCUAACCUGAGCUAAUGGUAAUGAGGUAAUGAUCUUGCUUUUCAAAAAUAUGCAAACAGGAACUUCACUAAGCCUUGAAGUAUUUAACAGGCCCUGUAGUCAUGCCAAUCUGCCACAGUUACAUGCACACACUUCUGCUACAGUAUGUGGACUGAACCUAUAAAGAAACAAUUCAUACUACGUGUACAAGUACCGUUAUUACCAUAACCACAUCCUGACUUAAAAGUAGAGGCAUCUGUCAUCUACCUUCUCUAUAGUCUUUGUGACUAGGCAGGUAGACUAGGCAAUAGAUCAGUCAAAGUAAUCAACUUACUUUAACAGGAAUUCUGCUGCAUAUCCAUUAGAAAUGCAGAAAUCCAAAUCUAGCUUUUUUUUCAAUUCUGAAGCGUCUCCAGCAUCCACUUAAAACAAUUCCUUAGUCCAUUAUGAAUUUAAUUACUACACACUCUUAAUCAUAGCUUAAGGAAAAAUCUGUGUUUAUUUACAGAAGCAAUAAGGCCUUCAGUGGAACUGGACAGUGCGUGGAUGAUGAGUGUGUGAAACAUGCUGAAGGACUGGAGUUCAUGAUGCAUACCUGACUCCUUCAUUUAAAGAGUACAGCUCGUUAUCUCCCAGAUCUUUCUUCUGGAACAUGCCGAUUACAGCAUUCUGGAUACUACAAACACACAAAAACAACACAACACACAAUAAACACACACCUUACACACAAACAGAAAAUUCAUCAGCCAUUGUGUUAGAACCACAGACACUGUGUGUGUGUGUGUGUGUGUGUGUGUCUGAACCAGAGAAAACAAUGGAAUGUGUUCUCUGAGAUCUUUGUGUGUGUUCACCUCUGCAUGUCAAUCAGCUAAUGAAGAAAAGAGGACUGUAACGCAGUGGCACCGAACCCUGACCCUGCAUUAACCACAGGGUCACACCAUUUAUUUACUGUUCAAACACGCUGAGCUGGAUAUUAUGGAGCAUGAAGAGCUAAGCUCAAACAAGCAUGCUAGUGCAUUUCUGCUUGAGGAAAUAUUUUAUAGGAUUUUAAUUAAAAGAUGUCUUGUGAAGAUGUAUGGAUGCUAGCAGGUCUGUGCAAGGAUCAAGGGGAAGAAGACAAGGAGGCAGCACAAGUAACACAAACAGAAUAAAUGAACAGAAGAAAAGAAACAGCUGUAAACGCUGGAAGAGUGUGGAGAACCAGUCCAACAAGGACACAGCUGAAAGUGCUUACAUACUCCAGUAAAUGCUUAUACACAGGAUAACUCUCCUCCACAGAUGACUUUGAGGGAAGAAGUUAAACAGGGACAGAGGAAACCAUCACCAACAUAAUCAACUUUAAACUGCUGCAACCAGAAAGUAAAGCUCUAAAGAGAUCAGCAUUAGUUCAACAUACUCCAGUCUCACGUUGCAGAAAAUUCCCUGCAGUAAAGCAUGUGUGCAUGUGUUUAGUACCUAUUCCAGAUGGCGUUGGCCCCUGCCCUGCAUUGCUGAGCGCCUCUCUCCUCCAAGGCAGCCUUUUCACUCUUACCCAGUUCACUGAGGCUCGGAGAACUCAUCAGCUUCAACCUGUGGAGAGUCCGCAUGGUCAGACCUGAUGCACAGUUCCCGGCAGGAGAAUAACAACAGAGAGGUGCAGACACAGAUCAGUGGAUACGACACAAUGGAGAGAGAAGUGAAAGAAAGGCAGCACUGUUGCAAGGUAUUCCGUACAUGUGUGAGGGGUCACCACAGAGGACCAACUAGUCCACACAACUACUCAGCACAGGUUUUAUACCAGAUGCCCUUCCUGAGACAACCCUCCCAUUAUCCAGGCUUAGGACUAGCACUGCAUCCAGUGGCUGGAGUCUGAGCACCAGCUGGGAAUCAAACCCAGGCCUUCCACAUGGUGAUUCCUCUGACCAGUGAAUACGUCUGUGAUCAACAGCCUGUGAUGCAGAUGGACUUUUAAAAUGGAGAGUAUGAGAACAAGAAAAAAAGAGGUUGAGCUGCUCUUUAUUCAGUGUAACAUCUGAAUGAAUCUGAAAGACAUGAUGAUGUUUUAUCACUUAUUGUGAGCACCAUGCUUCUUUGCUGUAUGUACCAAAUACACCAUGUAAUGCUUUGACUAGCAACUUAUGAAGAAACAUAACUGUUGUGAAAACAUUUCACUCUGACAUUGCUGCCCUCUUUAUUACCUGUCAUCAGGUGUAAUGUUUAUAGCUUUUGUUAUGGAGAGAUAACACUGACAGUCUUUUUGUUUUGCAGACUAUGGUGCAAGUGCAAAGUGUGUGAAACUUCUUCUACUAUACUAUAAUAGUUUUUCUAAAAAUUGAGACAAUUUUGGCUUCAACAGAGCCUGUAAAAAAUUCUUUAAAGUAUUUGCUUUUAAUUUACUAUAUUUUUUGUCAAAACAGUUUUGUUCCAGUAAGAUUAGCUUUUAAUUUUUUUAGCAGAGAGAAACCAUGAAAGUUUACAUCCCAAGUUACAUUAGUACAGCAGAAAAACCUAAACAAGCUUUGCAUCUUAAGGUUUCCUGCUCAUCACGUUCCUCAAACAUUUGGACCAAAACAAGUUAAAUGUUUCCACUGAACCAGAUCCUGAAGGACAACACAGGUUCAUUAAAGAAACGUAUCAACAUUACUACAGGGGAAGGAGAGAACCUGGUCCAUGUUGCUCUUUUUAACAGUAAUGAGAAGGAUCUUGAUAUAGCAGUCUUUAAGGUUCAAGGCCAUGCCUAUCUCACUUUAUAGCAUGAAGAAACAAUAAAAGCCACAGGUCUACUCAUACACAAUCAGUGGAUAAGUAGAGCUUCAGCUUCUUCUUAGAUAAUCAUCAAUAGAGGUUACUAAGCAUUAUGGUUUAUUAGUGAGUGAGAUACAGGUGAUCAGCUCUGAUGUUCUAUGUAAAUGGUCAUGGGAAAUGAAGCAGGUAGGCUUACACCAAGUCCUUUAUAAAAAGUCUAAAAUACUGGCAUGACUUUCUCAUGCACAGACUGUAUACACAUGCUUAAAAUAUGUGUGUUUACUAAGCUGAUUUGAAGGGCAGCAGAGUCAGGAAAUUGCUUACAGGUAAUAAGUUUGGGUCAGGCAAGGUCAGGUUGUUCUCUGCAACUGAAAAAUGGUAAUAUAACAUUUAGUUUAUAUACACUUACCUUUAUUAUGAACACCUGCUCCGUAAUCCAAUCAGCCAUUUUUAACCCUGCAUAAAAUCGGACAGAUACAGUUCAAGAGCUUCAGCUAAUGUUCACAUAUAAUAAAAUAUUAAAACACUUAUGAUUAUUUAUUAAUUAUUAUUUGUAACACAUGUACACCUGGACAUGCAUGCAGUGAUCUAAUCAGCCAAUCAUAUGGCAGCAGCAAACUGCAUAAAACCAUACAAAUACAGGUGAAGAGCUUCAGUUAAUAUUCACUUCAAUCAUUGCAGUAAAGUCCUGAUUUCCUUUAUAUUUAUAUUAUACACUACUCAGAACACCAUUAUUUAAUAAAACAGUAGUACAGUACCAACACUACAUGAACACUGUUUGGGGUAAAUAUAUCCAUCAGACUGCCAUAUUUACCCACAUUUGUACUUGAGCAGUUUUGAUUCUGUAACAGGACGAUUGUGGAGGGUGAGAGCUAACAAGACUUUUCUAUAAAGACAACUGAUGCAUGUUUUCGAACAGGUGAUGGCACUGGACAGCUGAUUGACCUUACAGGUUGGCAACAAGCAAGCUAUCUGACUCAGCAACAGAGGAGAGAAGAUGAGAAGAUCAUACUUCCCACACCAGAUUCCAAUGACUUUACACACACAAUAAAUUGUAUUGAACCUAGCAUGCAAGUAGAUAUAUAUUUAUUAUAGAGGCUUUAUUUCUAAAGAAAAAAACUAUUGACUUUUUGAGGAGAGGUGUACAACUAUAUAGCACUCUGUACAUCUCUCCAGCUCACCUGGUUAUAUGAGUCGAGAGAGAGCUGAUCACUACUGUAUCCAAUGAUUUAUAGCUAAAAAUAAAAAAAUAAAAGUAAUAAAAUAAUACUUUUAUAAUAAUUUAUAUUAUAAAUAUUUAUAAUAUUAUUAAAAAUAAUAUAUUUUUUUAAAACUCCAUUGAAUCCUAUUGUGUCUCCAGUAAAUCUUCCAUGUUACAUGUUUUGAAAUGCAAAUGGUCACAACAAAUGAAUGAAUAUGCAAACUGGUCUAUGAUGUCAUCUGGUGACUUUUUGAGCAUGCAUCAGAUACUUCCCCUUUAAGACUCCUUCAUUUCCUCACAGCAUGAUGAGAGUGACAAAAACAGAAAAGAGAGAAUAUACAGAAGAGGGUUUUAAGCUGAUUAAUAUGGUCUAGUUUCUUUGGCUAUAAUUCUUCUCUCUAAGCGAAUCUCCACAAUGAAUAUCCAAAUGACUGACCACAUGAACACUGAGACACUGCAUUGCAUUGAAGAAUCAUGGACUGGACAGUAGUUUUUCAGCCAAAUUAGAAGACUUUUUAUCUACUUUAAUUCUUUGUGACUGCCAGUAUCUUGUUUUAUGCCAAAUAAUCAGAAUGAAACUCAAAAAAAUGUCAUAUUUUCAAGAUAUAUUGCAAAAAAUUUGAAGAGCACACAGUUUCCAUAUCUCAGAAAUAUGUCUUCACCUCAUUUGUGACAUCUUUUCUCAUUUUCUUUCUGUUUAUUUACAAUAUCCUGUAGAUGUGUAAAUAUUAUUUUCUUUUAUUUAUUCGUUUGUUUGUUUGUUUGUUCCUUUGGCCAUAAACCGGUGUGUCAGUUUUUUUGGUGAGACUCUGAAAGCCUGUAAUCAGUUUUCAAACCAUUUCACAGACUCAUCAUCCGAGCUUGAUUACAAUAAAUCUCUUUGUUUAGAAUAUCUAUAGGAAAAGAAGAGAUAACAGAAACUAUUUAUUUUUAUUACAUUUCAUUGGCUAUCAGGUGCAGUGGCAAGAAACUGAAAUCAUUUGUUUUAAUAAGCGUAGAGCUUAAAAUACUGCCAUGACUUUCUCAUGCACAGACUGUAUACACAUGCUGAGAAAAAGAGGAAAAUGUCUGGUCUCUGAGAUACAGUUAGGGUGGAAGGUAAUAAUAACAGAGUGUGAUAGUCUUUUGCGUUAAAUUUGCUUGAGGCAAUGAUGGUUUUCGAGUCAGCCUGUGUCAUUCUGCCCAAAUCUCCACAGAAUAAGUCCCUUUCCCUGUCUGACUGUCUCCUCUCAGCAUGUGCUGCAGCUCCCAGAGUGAACAGCCCUGCUCCAUGUACUUGUAUUUUAAUUCAUUUCUAAUUUACGUUGGCGUGUGCAUUUUGUUUUGAUGUGUGUCUGUUCUUCAUCCUUGUCCUGUGAUGGUUAUGAUACCUGAUCACUCUCCCUUGUAUGUUUUUAGUUUAGCAUUAGUUUGCCCAUAAACUUAGUUUGUUUAUGUUUUUUUGUAUUUCUGAGGCAUGUUUCUGUGUUUUUAGAGUGACUUCCUAGUUUUGACCCUUGCCAUGUUGAGUCACUGAUGAUGGAUUAUCCCUGCCUGGUAUUGCCUGUCUGCAAUUUAACACAUGAUACAGACUUGACUUUGAGACUAUUUUAUGGAUUAGUCAUGAUAAACAGCAGGCUGAUGUUAGACUCUUGCAUCCUGCCUCAGCUGACACCAGAAAAACAUAACAGAUGUCAAUAUGUAGUCAUUUUCCCCAAAACAUAAAACAACAUUCAAAAAUAAGUAGACCCUUUUUUUUUUUCUUUACUAUUUCAUAUUAUUAUUAACUAUUAUCACAUUUUAAUGGCUAUCAGCUGUGGUGGCAAGAAACAGAAAUCAUUUGGUUUAAUAAGCAUAGAACUGUCAAGGGGAGAGCCUCAUAUUUACUCAGAAUACUGUGGACAUAAGGCGAAACUCAAUCUAUAUCCAAAACUAUAUUUAACUAUAUGUGACUUUAUUUUAUAUAUAUACAUUUUACUGAAUGUGUUUAUGGUUAUUUUGAUUACAUUAUUCUCUAUACUCUUGCUUGUGCAGUCUACUUUCUGA